Molecule: ribosomal RNA, 468 nt
Filed under: uncultured bacterium
Lineage: Bacteria
Description: partial 16S ribosomal RNA
Rfam family: Bacterial small subunit ribosomal RNA
Source: RNAcentral
GACGAACGCUGGCGGCGUGCUUAACACAUGCAAGUCGAACGGAAAGGCCCUGCUUUUGUGGGGUGCUCGAGUGGCGAACGGGUGAGUAACACGUGAGUAACCUGCCCUUGACUUUGGGAUAACUUCAGGAAACUGGGGCUCAUACCGGAUAGGAGCUCCUGCUGCAUGGUGGGGGUUGGAAAGUUUCGGCGGUUGGGGAUGGACUCGCGGCUUAUCAGCUUGUUGGUGGGGUAGUGGCUUACCAAGGCUUUGACGGGUAGCCGGCCUGAGAGGGUGACCGGCCACAUUGGGACUGAGAGACGGCCCAGACUCCUACGGGAGGCAGCAGUGGGGAAUAUGGCACAAUGGGCGGAAGCCUGAUGCAGCAACGCCGCGUGCGGGAUGACGGCCUUCGGGUUAUAAACCGCUUUCGCCUGUGACGAAGCGUGAGUGACGGUAAUGGGUAAAGAAGCACCGGCUAACUACGUG